GUGGGUAUGGUGCGGGCUGAGUUGGAAACGUUUGUUGGCCCUGUGGUGGGUAUGGUGCGGGCUGAGUUGGAAACGUUUGUUGGCCCUGUGGUGGGUAUGGUGCGGGCUGAGUUGGAUUUGUUUGUGGUCCUUGUGGUGGAUAUGGUGCAGGCCGAGUGGGCCCAUUUGAGUACAUCGGAUUGGUUUGUGGGCCUUGGGGCGGGAACUGUGAGGGCUGGGCUGGUUGGCCCCCAUAUCCCUGAUUAGCUUGUGGCGGGUUGUACUGCUG
This 268-nucleotide long non-coding RNA is filed under the name Populus tremula. RNAcentral's name for it is "long non-coding RNA (PTRE_LNC000732)". The record is from RNAcentral. Lineage: Eukaryota; Viridiplantae; Streptophyta; Magnoliopsida; Malpighiales; Salicaceae.